RNAcentral lists this ribosomal RNA (440 nucleotides) under uncultured bacterium. RNAcentral's name for it is "partial 16S ribosomal RNA". It matches the Rfam family "Bacterial small subunit ribosomal RNA", at positions 338 to 795 of the family's 1533-position model. The record is from RNAcentral.
CCUACGGGUGGCAGCAGUGGGGAAUAUUGCACAAUGGGGGGAACCCUGAUGCAGCGACGCCGCGUGAGUGACGAAGUAUUUCUGUAUGUAAAGCUCUAUCAGCAGGGGAGAAAAUGACGGUACCUGACUCAGAAGCCCCGGCUAACUACGUGCCAGCAGCCGCGGUAAUACGUCGGGGGCAAGCGUUAUCCGGAUUUACUGGGUGUUCAGGGAGCGCAGACGGCUGUGCAAGGCUGGAGGGAAAGGCGGGGGCCCAACCCCCGGACUGCUCUGGAAACUGGAAAGCUGGAGUGCAGGAGAGGUAAGCGGAAUGCGUAGUGUAGCGGUGAAAUGCGUAGAUAUUAGGAGGAACACCAGUGGCGAAGGCGGCUUACUGGACUGCAACUGACGUUGAGGCACGAAAGCGUGGGGAGCGAACAGGAUUAGAUACCCUUGUAGUC